AAGAAAGUUGAAGCCACCAAUGUAAAUACACAUUAGUUGGCAAGAAUCCAAAGCAAGGAGAGACAAAAACAAUAAACCAAGAUCAAGGAACCAUUAUCUAUUCCCAACAUCAUCUAUUAAAAUAAAACAUACAUACCCUGUCUUAACCAUACAAAAAGAUGUUUAAAGCAAAUACUAAAAACCGGAAGUGGUUGAAUUUAACGUUGGCAAACAAUAAGCUCGUCAGCAUCAACAUCAUUGUUGUCGUCAACACCAGCUGAAGAAGCAUUAUAAACAAUAGCAACAGCGACUAAAAAGUGUAGAUUUCUUAUAAAUAAAGUAUUGAAAUAAAAACUAAACAACUGUGAAAGGUUGCCAUGUUAAGGGGGUAUACUGCAACUGAAUAUAUUGUGGGCAUUCAAAAGCCAAAGGGAAUUUUGCAAAAGAGUUUAAAGAUUCAUAUUUACAAGUUUGUUUACUUACGAAGCAACAGAAUUGAAAACAGUCAAGCUGUAGCUGAAACAAAAAAAAAAACAAUAAAAAAAAUAUAAAGAAAAAAAAUCGGAAAAAGCCAAAGCAUACACAAGAAACCAAUGCAAUACAAUUGCAAUCACAAAAGAAAACAAUAACAUGCUCUACAGCACACAUACCGACAAGCACACGCAUGCAGAA
Molecule: long non-coding RNA, 651 nt
Organism: Lucilia sericata (common green bottle fly)
Lineage: Eukaryota; Metazoa; Arthropoda; Insecta; Diptera; Calliphoridae
Exons: 3
Source: RefSeq, a predicted model, not a curated record